AGCACAGCUUCAGGUUUCGGCUAGACUUGUGGACAGAAANCCAUGGAGCACGUGCUAAAAGUAAAUCCUUCUUUGCAACCCACAGCAGAUCUGUGCUUGCUGUGUUACUAAUAUGAAGAGACACA
RNAcentral lists this small nucleolar RNA (125 nucleotides) under Salvator merianae (Argentine black and white tegu). RNAcentral describes it as "Small nucleolar RNA SNORA40 (ENSSMRG00000009824.1)". It matches the Rfam family "Small nucleolar RNA SNORA40". From Rfam's summary of the family: The snoRNA ACA 40 belongs to the H/ACA family of snoRNAs and guides the pseudouridylation of 28S rRNA subunit at position U4565. NB This family has a high threshold value to exclude a large number of closely related sequences that do not appear to have conserved H and ACA boxes, and may be pseudogenes. The record is from RNAcentral. Lineage: Eukaryota; Metazoa; Chordata; Lepidosauria; Squamata; Teiidae.